This is a long non-coding RNA of Thunnus maccoyii (southern bluefin tuna), 1702 nucleotides long. RefSeq lists it as uncharacterized. Lineage: Eukaryota; Metazoa; Chordata; Actinopteri; Scombriformes; Scombridae. The record is from RefSeq and is a predicted model, not a curated record. The transcript is spliced from 3 exons.
UUUCAUCCUCAGUUGUGACACCUUGUAAAGUCAGUUUAGAUAUGAGCGCUACAAACUAAUCAUUGAUUACAUUUCUGGGAUAUAACUGCCAACAAUGAUUUACAGGCUAAUGUGAUGAAUUAUUGAUAUGGAUGAUAUAAAGAGCCGUACAGCCGCGCGUAAAGGUCACACUAACUACAGCUGUUCUGCUGUUGGAGAACCUCACCGGUGCAACACAGUCAUCAAUCUACAGAGUUUUAUGCAUCUGGCCCUUCAUUCAUUCUCCAGCUAGCUGCUAGCAACUGUUGACGUCAGGGAGGCAUUUCAAACUCGCAGCCUUGUCGUCAGUCAGAUGGAGGUCGGAUCACAUUCACACCAUGAACCAACCACUACAGAAUUUGUUUGUGACCAGGCAGAGACCACUCGGGUCCACUGGGGACGGCUGUGACCCAGGAGGUGGAGCAGGUCGUCCACUAACUGCUGGGUUUGUAGUUCAAUCUCCAGGUCUUCCUGUCCAUGUGUCAAAGUGUCCUUGAGCAAGAAACUGAACCCCAAGUUGCUCCCGAUGGCCUUGCGUGGCAGCUCUGAGUGUGUGUGAAUGGGUGAUUCCCUUCCUCUCAAUGGUCCCUCUGUGGGUUGUUUGGGUGCAAGUACGAUUGCUGUGUUCAGAUCUGCCCAAAGGAAUCACACCAAAGAGGAAAACAAACCUGAGUCUGAUCAACUGGACUGAAUGCAAGUUUGAAAACACCCUUAUUCAUCGGUAUCUUUGUUGUAGUGCUUUGAAAAGUGCCCAUGGAGUGAUGUCAUCUGUUUCUGCUCUGUGCUGUAUUUUCAGUUUGGUGCUCAGCUGUAUAGGCACAAAACCAUCAAUAUCUCAGGAACAGAUGUAGAUAAUUUCAUCAGAUUUUAACAUAUAAAUGAGAACAAGGAGCUUAUUACACAGUUAUCAGUUGGAAAAUCACUGCGCCUGUGCUUUAAUGUAUAGAGUUACUUUGCACAUGUGUUUUAGAGACAUUCUUUUGAUUUCUCACAGCUUCUCCUUUCACGAGUUGAGGACGAAGACGAGGAUGUGGAGCUGUUUAACCUUACUUCCAGACUGUUUCCUGUUCACAGAGUCGAUCCUGCAGCUCCAGGCAGAGGUGACAGAUAAGAUCUCUCCCACUUCAACUUAAAUAUACGAGGAAGGUGGAGUUCAGCAGGCGGAAAGCAUGAAGAGCGCUUUUACCAGGAUGCAUUUUAGGAGGUGUUUUUCUUUUUUCAGCGAGAGAUAAAAAUGUCUCUGAGUGUGUCACGCAGGACACCCUUUCUUCCAUUGUCCUCGCCUGUGUUAGAGAGGGUGGCGACAAGAGAAAAGUCUGGCAGCUAAAAAGCAUUCCUGCAGGGUUAUCUUCAUCGCCUCGCACUCUGACUCUCGCUCACCGGUCGUCUGUUUGCAGAGAAGGUUUCAGUGGCACCGGUCACGUCUCUCUCACCACCUGAUUUUAUUGGACAUCUUUAUUGUUGUUGGGUCCGGCGGGGUGGACAUGGAUGCUGGAUGCUUUAAUUAAAAGUGUUGGACCUGGUCCUGGGGGUUUCUGUGGGGAGGUGGGCGUGUCCUCGUUCCCUUCCUGAUACAUACGGCGAGGUUGGCUGGUACAUGUGUCUACAGGUCAGAUAUCAGCUGGAGGAGAGAGAGAGAGAGAGCAUCAAACAUUAGAAGUAAAAAAAAAACAAACCAAUUUAU